GUGAACAGUAACAUGACACAUUAAAUAUUACAAAAUUAGCUUUUCUCCCACCCCUUUGCAAGGCCCAGAAGUCCAAAAGCUUUGUGGUUGCAUUGCUGAAUGAAACUAGGGAAAUAACACCAUUAUCAAUUAGUCAGCCCUUAGCACUUAGGACUUUAUUAUAUGAAGAAUAAGAAAUAUUCAAUCGAGGUUAUGCUCAGUAAGGAGGAAUUGAAAAGGCAGGAACUAACUGAAAUACAAUGAUCAGAAUGUGUUUUUUUUUAACCUCAAACUGUUUGAAUGUUGUGUGUAACACACAGCACUUCCUAUUUUAAUUGACUGUUUCUUUGCCCAUAGGGGAAUUUUUCUUUUACCAGAGAGGCCCAAGGGAUGGGAAGCAAAAGGUUUGUUUUUGCAAGAAGUUGCUUGUUUUCUGUCAAAGCUCCACAAAGGAUGGUGAUUACCCCAGCACUGGUGGGGAAGGCAGUGUGGCAGGGCUGUGUCCUUCCUGGAAGUGCUUUGGGAUACCCUGGGCAGGGAGCACACUGCUCUGACCCCUGA
Molecule: long non-coding RNA, 540 nt
Filed under: Cyanistes caeruleus (blue tit)
Lineage: Eukaryota; Metazoa; Chordata; Aves; Passeriformes; Paridae
Description: lncRNA (ENSCCEG00000021355.1)
Source: RNAcentral